Molecule: ribosomal RNA, 427 nt
Filed under: uncultured bacterium
Lineage: Bacteria
Description: partial 16S ribosomal RNA
Rfam family: Bacterial small subunit ribosomal RNA
Source: RNAcentral
UGGGGAAUAUUGCACAAUGGGCGCAAGCCUGAUGCAGCCAUGCCGCGUGUAUGAAGAAGGCCUUCGGGUUGUAAAGUACUUUCAGCGAGGAGGAAGGCGUUGUGGUUAAUAACCGCAGCGAUUGACGUUACUCGCAGAAGAAGCACCGGCUAACUCCGUGCCAGCAGCCGCGUUAAUACGGAGGGUGCAAGCGUUAAUCGGAAUUACUGGGUGUAAAGCGCACGCAGGCGGUCUGUCAAGUCGGAUGUGAAAUCCCCGGGCUCAACCUGGGAACUGCAUCCGAAACUGGCAGGCUAGAGUCUUGUAGAGGGGGGUAGAAUUCCAGGUGUAGCGGUGAAAUGCGUAGAGAUCUGGAGGAAUACCGGUGGCGAAGGCGGCCCCCUGGACAAAGACUGACGCUCAGGUGCGAAAGCGUGGGGAGCAAACA